This 89-nucleotide transfer RNA is filed under the name Colletotrichum phormii. Its description in RNAcentral is "tRNA-Gln". It matches the Rfam family "tRNA". Rfam says of the family: Transfer RNA (tRNA) molecules are approximately 80 nucleotides in length. Their secondary structure includes four short double-helical elements and three loops (D, anti-codon, and T loops). Further hydrogen bonds mediate the characteristic L-shaped molecular structure. tRNAs have two regions of fundamental functional importance: the anti-codon, which is responsible for specific mRNA codon recognition, and the 3' end, to which the tRNAs corresponding amino acid is attached (by aminoacyl-tRNA synthetases). tRNAs cope with the degeneracy of the genetic code in two manners: having more than one tRNA (with a specific anti-codon) for a particular amino acid; and 'wobble' base-pairing, i.e. permitting non-standard base-pairing at the 3rd anti-codon position. The record is from RNAcentral. Lineage: Eukaryota; Fungi; Ascomycota; Sordariomycetes; Glomerellales; Glomerellaceae.
GGUCUAUUAGUCUAGUUGGUUAGGACGUCGGAUUCUGAUCUCUCAAUCAGUUCCUUCCGUAAGCCCAGGUUCGAAUCCUGGAUGGACCU